Molecule: ribosomal RNA, 468 nt
Filed under: uncultured bacterium
Lineage: Bacteria
Description: partial 16S ribosomal RNA
Rfam family: Bacterial small subunit ribosomal RNA
Source: RNAcentral
GACGAACGCUGGCGGCGUGCUUAACACAUGCAAGUCGAACGGAAAGGCCCUGCUUUUGUGGGGUGCUCGAGUGGCGAACGGGUGAGUAACACGUGAGUAACCUGCCCUUGACUUUGGGAUAACUUCAGGAAACUGGGGCUAAUACCGGAUAGGAGCUCCUGCUGCAUGGUGGGGGUUGGAAAGUUUCGGCGGUUGGGGAUGGACUCGCGGCUUAUCAGCUUGUUGGUGGGGUAGUGGCUUACCAAGGCUUUGACGGGUAGCCGGCCUGAGAGGGUGGCCGGCCACAUUGGGACUGAGAUACGGCCCAGAAUCCUACGGGAGGCAGCAGUGGGGAAUAUUGCACAAUGGGCGGAAGCCUGAUGCAGCAACGCCGCGUGCGGGAUGACGGCCUUCGGGUUGUAAACCGCUUUCGCCUGUGACGAAGCGUGAGUGACGGUAAUGGGUAAAGAAGCACCGGCUAACUACGUG